RNAcentral lists this long non-coding RNA (3076 nucleotides) under Salmo salar (Atlantic salmon). Its description in RNAcentral is "lncRNA (ENSSSAG00000099376.1)". The record is from RNAcentral. Lineage: Eukaryota; Metazoa; Chordata; Actinopteri; Salmoniformes; Salmonidae.
CAAUGCCUUCCUUUUGCAGGAACUGCUGACAUACUCCAGCCACAUGAGGUCUAGCAUUGUCUUGCAUUAGGAGGAACCCAGGGCCAACCGCACCAGCAUAUGGUCUCACAAGGGGUCUGAGGAUCUCAUCUCGGUACCUAAUGGCAGUCAGGCUACCUCUGGCGAGUGUAACAGGAUAGGGGGAGAUCGCGAACGUCAGGUCUUCCCAGUAUGAAAAUGUGAUGCAAGGGCUUUUGUCAUCGACAGCCAUCAGUACCAUUAAGCCCUGCACAACUACCGUGCUGUUUCUCAUUUAACAACAGGAAUAAAUGAUGCUCAACUGGGACCGCUGGCUGAUGUGAUUUAUUAGGGAAAAAAAACACAACGCAAGGAGAGUACGCUAUACAUCUGUUACACGAGCACAUGGAGGGCUGUGCGGCCCCCCAAAGAAAUGCCACCCCACACCAUGACUGACCCACUGCCAAACCGGUCAUGCUGGAGGAUGUUGCAGGCAGCAGAACAUUCUCCACGGCGUCUCCAGACUCUGUCUCGUGCUCAGUGUGAACCUGCUUUCAUCUGUGAAGAGCACAGGGCGCCAGUGGCGAAUUUGCCAAUCUUGGUGUUCUCUGGCAAAUGCCAAACGUCCUGCACGGUGUUGGGCUGUAAGCACAACCCCCACCUGUGGACGUCGGGCCCUCAUGGAGUCUGUUUCUGACCGUUUGAGCAGACACAUGCACAUUUGUGGCCUGUUGGAGGUCAUUUUGCAGGGCUCUGGCAGUGCUCCUCCUUGCACAAAGGCGGAGGUAGCGGUCCUGCUGCUGGGUUGUUGCCCUCCUACGGCCUCCUCCACGUCUCCUGAUGUAUUGGCCUGUCUCCUGGUAGCGCCUCCAUGCUCUGGACACUACGCUGACAGACACAGCAAACCUUCUUGCCACAGCUCGCAUUGAUGUGCCAUCCUGGAUGAGCUGCGCUACCUGAGCCACUUGUGUGGGUUGUAGACUCCGUCUCAUGCUACCACUAGAGUGAAAGCACCGCCAGCAUUCAAAAGUGACCAAAACAUCAGCCAGGAAGCAUAGGAACUGAGAAGUGGUCUGUGGUCCCCACUGCAGAACCACUCCUUUAUUGGGGGUGUCUUGCUAAUUGCCUAUAAUUUCCACCUGUUGUCUAUUCCAUUUGCACAACAGCAUGUGAAAUGUAUUGUCAAUCAGUGUUGCUUCCUAAGUGGACAGUUUGAUUUCACAGAAGUGUGAUUGACUUGGAGUUACAUUGUGUUGUUUAAGUGUUCCCUUUAUUUUUUUGAGCAGUAUAUAUAUAUAUAUAUUUCAGCAGAUUUCGUGCGUAUUUUUUACACCCUAAUUCAUAAGUUAAUGCUUGGAGUCUUCACAGAUCGUGUGACAUAAAACACUACCUUUCUUUCUUUACAUUAAUGACAUUUAUGACAGUGUUAUGUGUCAUUGUUAAGAAUGUAAGAAUUGAAUUAGAACAUUGAAGUUAAACCCUGCACAAACUAUGGAUCUUGGCGUUCUCGGAAAAUGUCCUGUAUGUGUUACUAUGCCUACGUGUUUCACCGUGAAAACAGUUCUCAUGGGCACACAAAUCCAAAGUAAUGUAGGCAUGUGCCAUUGCAAAACCGAAUGCUUCUCACCGAACACUAAAACCUCUUCUAAUCAAAAUAGGAAACUUAUAAGCCUACAGUCAUUAGAGUAUAGUCUACUUGUUGGAUGAGCACUGGUGUCUAGCUGUAGGCUAGUGAUAUUGUCCACCAUCAUCAGCCGAUCCAAGAAAGAAAACUAAUAUUGACAGAAAAUAAUAAAUCUAAACUAACGGUCUACUACUUCUGGCGAUGGAUGGCACGGAGAAAACCAGUUCCCGCGCGCACCUGGAAAAACAACGCAAUGAGCGCUCUAAACAGCUGACUGACAAAAGCAAACGCUGAUAAAUCUAAUGCAUUGGCUAUCAAGGACAAGGACGCAUGGCAAACAAAUGUCAAAAAUUAAUAAGUACAAAGGAACCCCCCCACGUUUGUUUUUUGUUGCAUUUAGGGGCUCCCCGUAAUUCACACCUUCGAUGAAGGCCUUGUCUGCAUUAGCCUAGGACCCAACACACAACUUUCGACAUGGGAAACAAAAUGCAGCCUCUGCAGUAACCGAGUAUUCCAGACACUCUUUUCUUAUGAACCAGUUGCUAUUAAAUGAAAGUUUUUGUACAGAAAAGCUGUGGCUAGGGUAUGAUUCUAGGCUAAUCUGGUCUGGCUCCUUUGUUCCAAGAUCAUCGGGAACAGUCGGAGUUGGAGGCGGCUGUGGUGCCUUGAUCCUGGCUGCGCUUUUGGAAGGGUGGGUAGACUAGCUGGAGCUCGGCAGCGUCUUCACGGUUGGGCCUGGCGGCGGUCUGUGCUUUGACGCUGCUGCUCAUCGCUCUCCUAAUCCUCUUGGUGAAACCCAUUUCUGAUAUCCACGGUGGCAGAUGAAGUGGUUUGAGCUAGCUAAAUAGGCUAGGGCUAAUAACACAAACACCUUUUACAGCUAAAUUAGCUAGCUAAGAGUGAAGCAGCUUCAACGGUAUACUUGACCCUGCCCUAAUAAAUCGAAAUAAAAUAUUACAGGCGUAGGAGUAUCAUGUUAUUCACUUAGCCAACUGCAGAGAUGAGAAGUGUUUUUUCCCCAAAGGAAAAUACCUAACCACCUAGUGGCUAUCCAUAGCCCACCUACACAAACCGCAGCGCGCCCUGUCCGUUGUGUUGACACAAUGCAGAGGAGAAAGAUUUUUUUAUGUGCCAACCUGUCACUCAAUCAUUAAAACUUUGUUGCUAUUUUUAUAGAGGGACAUAAAACUACAACUGAGGGAGCUAAAGUUUGAACUGAGGCGGCUAAGCCCCCUCAUCCAGCCAGGCUCGCCCCAGGACCCUUGUCUGCAGUGUGAGAGGCCUGACAAGGAGGAGGCCAUAGAUGGUUUCGUCUCCCAGCGUCAAUCUUGGGGGUGUCUGAAGCCAAGUGGGUGACUGAAGUCUGCUUGAUUGAAGCAGGGUACAUGGGUCCCCCUCCUCUUCCGCUCCCCUCCUUUUCUGGAAUUGUAUUUAAUAUAAAUGUAUUAAUAAGCC